Molecule: long non-coding RNA, 504 nt
Organism: Salvelinus sp. IW2-2015
Lineage: Eukaryota; Metazoa; Chordata; Actinopteri; Salmoniformes; Salmonidae
Source: RefSeq, a predicted model, not a curated record
GAUGGCUCACGCAUUACAGGAGGGAAAAGGCACCAAACCACUACAUCGUCUAGUUUAUUACAAUGCCUCUGAUUAAGUCUUAGAUACGUCGAAGAGGAUGAGACUAAACGGGACUUGGAACCAGUUCACCAGUAACUUGGCAACUGACGAAGUGGUUGAAGAGGUGCUUGAUCAUCUGUCAAGGUGCAUCAUUCUUAAGGAAAUGUCCUUUGACUCUAAACAGUGGGCCGGACUCCAGCAAGAUGAGAACUUUUUAGUUGAUGUCAUUUUAAUUAUGGGGCUGGAUGGGAGGCCCCCUUAUCAUAUUAGCUGAACUCUUCAGCCAGACCGCAAUGGAUCACAUUCACAUACAUCUGCAUGGAGAUGCCUUUGUUGUUUACUGAAGGAAUCCACUGGGGCCUUGCAGGCUUCAAAUAGCUUUUGGCCUUUGGAGAAGAUCAUGUUAAAGAAGCUCUGACGAAGGCCUUGAAGCAGAUUCUUAAUAAAAAGCAGUGAUACUAACGA